This 253-nucleotide ribosomal RNA is filed under the name uncultured bacterium. RNAcentral describes it as "partial 16S ribosomal RNA". It matches the Rfam family "Bacterial small subunit ribosomal RNA", at positions 524 to 776 of the family's 1533-position model. The record is from RNAcentral.
UACGUAGGGUGCAAGCGUUAAUCGGAAUUACUGGGCGUAAAGCGUGCGCAGGCGGUUAUGCAAGACAGAUGUGAAAUCCCCGGGCUCAACCUGGGAACUGCAUUUGUGACUGCAUGGCUAGAGUACGGUAGAGGGGGAUGGAAUUCCGCGUGUAGCAGCGAAAUGCGUAGAUAUGCGGAGGAACACCGAUGGCGAAGGCAAUCCCCUGGGCCUGCACUGACGCUCAUGCACGAAAGCGUGGGGAGCAAACAGG